Molecule: ribosomal RNA, 253 nt
Filed under: uncultured bacterium
Lineage: Bacteria
Description: partial 16S ribosomal RNA
Rfam family: Archaeal small subunit ribosomal RNA
Source: RNAcentral
UACCAGCACCCCGAGUGGUCGGGAUGAUUAUUGGGCCUAAAGCAUCCGUAGCCGGUCAUGCAAGUCCUCCGUUAAAUCCACCUGCUUAACAGAUGGGCUGCGGAGGAUACUACAAGGCUAGGAGGCGGAAGAGGCAAGCGGUACUCAGUGGGUAGGGGUAAAAUCCUCUGAUCCAUUGAAGACCACCAGUGGCGAAGGCGGCUUGCCAAUACGCGCUCGACGGUGAGGGAUGAAAGCUGGGGGAGCAAACCGG